UACAAGGGGGAGGAGUUAUCGGUUAGGCUGUGUACUUUAUGUUCUUCAGAUAGUGUAGAAGAUGAAUGUCACUUUUUACUUCAUUGUUCCUGUUAUUCAAAGCUUAGAGUAAUCUUUUUUACCAGUAUCGGAUUUAACCCCACUGUGAUCAAUAUGUCAGAUUUAGACAAAACAAAAUUUCUAUUAUUAAAUUUCCCAAGACAAACUGCAAAAUUCCUGUUCUCCGCAUACACCUACAGACAAUCUACCAUAUACCAUAAUAGUAUAAGUCAUGCGUAAUACAUGUACCACUGUAUUUAUUAUUUAAUGUGGGGGGUGUGUUCUGUUAAAAGUGACAUAUAGGCCCGAUGGGCUGGGUGUUUAAAUUCCUAUUAUUCUGUUUAAUGUAUUUUUCAAUUCUGUAAUGUAUAAAACACAUGUCACUAUAAUAAAUCAUUUAUUUACUUACUUACAUUCCUAGAUGUAUUUGUGUUCGAUUAUGCAGAUGAGUUUUAAAUUACCUCGCAUGUUUGUAACAUUUGGGCACUAAACUGUAUGCGAAUAUUUGUCGCAUAUAGUACUUGUUCACAAAAUUCAGGACUAGUUAAUUUUGGAAUCAGCAUAUCUUAUAAUAUGAAUUUAAUGCAGUGUAGUUUGAAACCAUGCAAAGUUUCACACAUUAGACAUGAAUUCAGCAUUCUAAUACAAACAUGCACUUAUGAACACUUUUCAAUUUAAGUUCCUGAAAGUCCAUAUUGUAACCUGAAAGUCUAUUUACUGUUAUUUAGAAGUUUGAAUCUAAACCUACAACAUUUGCAAAAUCUGCAUCUACUCAACAAUACAAUUCGGUGUGCAUUAUUUCGACAAUAAGUUCUAUGGGGAUGUAUUCUACACAACUCGAUCUAGAACUCGGGUAUUGGUAGUAAAUUAAAGCAAAUCUAAUUAGAUAAUAUCUUCACCAUCUCUAUAUUAUUAUAACCCUCAACAAUAUAUAUCCAUGCACUUUGGAAGUGAUAUCAUACAAAUGAACAUGAUAUAAGCAUAAAAUAAUCGGCAAACUUAGAAGCUCUCAAAUGUGUACUGUUGAUUUAAAUAAAAAUAUAUUUACGAAUUUUUCACUUCAUACAUAUAUCACUGUUGCAUACAUAUGGGAAAUAGGUUACAUGGAUAUUUUCACACAUAUUCAUUUUGAAAUACGAACUCAAUAACAUAAGGUAUACUGUCUACAUUUCAUAUUCAUCUUAUUCUUUUAUGUAAGCAUAUAUAUGAUGUACACUUCUUUUUCAGAGAGAGAGAGAGAGAGAGAGAGAGAGAGAGAGAGAGAGAGAGAGAGAGAGAGAGAGAGAGGUACAUAAGUAUUAUUUUCUUGGUAACAUAUUUUGAUAACUAUAAUACAUGUACAUGUAGAUAUAGAUAUGAUUUACAAUGUAUCUAUUGAUCAAACCAAACAACACACAAAAAAGAAAAGGAAAAAAAAAAAGAAAGAAAAAAGAAACGCAAACGUAUUUGAUGAAAAAGUACAUAUAGACCUACAUGUAUAUACUGAUCAUGCAUAUGAGUUUUUACAUAUUCUCUGCCAGUGAAUUUCAUAAUCAUCAUGUCUACAGUUUCUUAGCAGCACGUACUUCUCAACCACAAUUCUGUCCGUAACUAUUUUUCUAAUCGCAGAUAUAUGUACUUGCGGACUAUUUUGAUAUUUACAAGAAAAAAUAUAUUGUUUUACUACAAGCAAAUCAAAUUUUGAAUGUCUAACUGUUGAUUUUUAUUAUACAUUUGUAGAAUCAAUAUUUUAUUUUUACUGACAUGUAUCCCGACUGAGAUAUUAAUUAUAGAAAAAGAAACUUAAGCAAUUACUUGAAUUUAGUAUAUAGUUCCUGUGUUUAAUCUAUCAUCUAAGGAUUUCAACGUUUUAGUUCAGUAAAAAUUGAGACUCCAGUAGUGAAUAAAACCACUUUAAAUGAAAGUAGAUGGUUGAGGGGCAGACGUACAUGUUCAUGUGUUUACAAAUAUCCUUGACAAUUGCGAGGCGAAAUUAAUGUGUUGCUAAGAAAAAAGCAGUUCAUUCUUCAAAACAUUUCCAUGUAUUUGGAUAUCUCACAUGCAGAAUUUCCAGUCUUGUAUAUACACUUACUUUAUAGCUCAUAUUGUGAGAACAGAAAAAAGUCGGGCAGAAGAGGGGCACCUUAUAAUACCCCAUAAAGAUGCAGAAGAAAGUUUGUGUGACUGUAUGCUACAACGGUAUUGAGUUUAUUUCGUGAUUUUUAGACCUCUAAUAAACGUAAACUUUUCAUUAUAACACAACAUAAAGCACACUACAGAUUAUUUACAUUUAAAAUUGUAAACAAAGGGCGGCCAUUUUGAACUUAGAGUCGCAGGGACGCUAUUUAAAAAAAUCCUAUGAUAUAGAAAAACGAUGCAGAAAUUUAACACAUGCAUGAUUUUUUAAAUUCAGACAUUUGUGAAACAAUUUACACGCAAAAUAAAUUAUAUAUCUAUAAAAUUAUGUUUUCCCAUAAAUCCUUUCCUGAUCGGCGCUGAUUGGUUGUACUUUUUCGGCGGGCAAAAUUGAUUGUUGUUUGUGAGAGAAAACCUAGCGUGACUCAAAUGGAACCAUGUCAUGUUUUGAUUAAAUGGAAGAUCCAAAGAUUUUUCUGAGAAUAGGAGACGUCUACUGUUGUUGGGCAUCAUUCAGGUAUGUCUUUUGGAGGGUAUUGAGUAAAAAUUUCUGGAACUUUUUAAAACAAUCUUCCAUUAUGCAUCCUCACUGAAUAUUUUAGUAUGAGUCUGUCCAUAGCCAAUACUGGCAAUUGCCGUCUCAUUUAAACAAUUUUUGACGGGAUAUCAUGUUAUCUCUGACUAUACAAAUUAUCCUUUUCUCAUAAAAGAGCAAUGAUAUUUAAUAUUCAUUUCAUAAUCACAACAGAACACAUCAAAACAUGCUUGAUAUUCACCUUUUAGAAUUUUAAAUACAAAAUAAAAAAAAAUAUCCUGUCCCGAUUCGGAAACAGAACGCUAUCUAACCUAUUCUUUCUCUAUAUAUAUCAUUGUAGGUUUUCCAGUGUUGACUUGAAACAUUUUCAUUCACGAUGUUGCGGAUUCAUCAUUGCAUUUGCAUGGAGUAGUGCAUAUGUUGUGUGUGGCCUUCUAAACGAUAAAUCUAUGGAUUAGAGGAUGAACAGGUCGAUGCAGGAAUAUUCAUUUUAAUGAUAAGGAAAUACGAAAUGCAAGGACAACCUCCAAGCAUGCAGUAUGCCUUAUACAAACAAUGAUGGGAUGUUCCAUUAUAUGGUGGCGCCCAGUUUUUAUUGGUGGAAGAGAGAACCCAGAUACAAUGUACCUGGGAAGAGACCACCGACCUUCCGAAAGUAUACUGGGAAACUUUCUCACUUAACGGCAUGAGCGGGAUUGGAACCCACGCCAACAGAGAAACUAAAGAGUCGAAAGGCCCAGCUGGAGAGAGAUUCCCAUUUCUUGACCAAGGAUGAAAAAAAAAAGAUUAAAAAGGUGCUGACUAAGGAUGCAACGUCUCCAGAAAUAACGGAUGAUAAGGAAGCCACCCAGAGGAAGGUCUUACCAUUUAUAUGGGAGUCAUCCCUGCUGCGUAUUGUUAAGUGCGACCUGGACAGAGAGUAUUUUGAAUCUUUGCAACUUCAAUCAAAGAGACAAAAAGCCAAGGUCAUUAGAAGUAGAACGGAAAUGACUAUGACCCCACCAUCUAGGAGCAUUCAAGAGUGGGCCGUUUCCUCUACUUAUAAAUGAUGCUAUUACUGUUAAUAGUUAUAUUUAAUUUCCUCAUUUCUAGCUCACCUGAGCCAAAGGUUCAAGGUAACAAUUAAUAAUAUUAUACCGUUAUAACCAGUUUUUAUGAAAUUUUAAUAAUGCUGUUGAAGGAGAAUUGCAAUUUUUGGGAUGUUUAUAUUUGAUACUGUUUAAGUAUGUCUAGCAUCUUAAAAAGUGUGAUGACCUAUCUAUUUCAUUUGAUAAUUUAUUAAUUUUAACUUUUAUAAAUUGAAAUAAAUGCAUUUUCGAUACUUUUAUCAGUGAACAUUGCAAGUAUGGAGUUACCUUGAUAUAUUUAUACAGAUUUGUUUUGCUUUAGUACUAGUGUAUCAGUAUUAUUACAUCAAGUUCAUUUGUGUGAAUAUUAUAAUAUUUAAGAAUGAAUAAAACUGUCAAAUUGUG
Long non-coding RNA from Ostrea edulis (European flat oyster), 4161 nucleotides. RefSeq lists it as uncharacterized. Lineage: Eukaryota; Metazoa; Mollusca; Bivalvia; Ostreida; Ostreidae. The transcript is spliced from 3 exons. The record is from RefSeq and is a predicted model, not a curated record.